This 18-nucleotide small nuclear RNA is filed under the name Arabidopsis thaliana (thale cress). Its description in RNAcentral is "snRNA_18634". The record is from RNAcentral. Lineage: Eukaryota; Viridiplantae; Streptophyta; Magnoliopsida; Brassicales; Brassicaceae.
CUUACUCCGUGAAUCGGA